Molecule: ribosomal RNA, 493 nt
Filed under: uncultured bacterium
Lineage: Bacteria
Description: partial 16S ribosomal RNA
Rfam family: Bacterial small subunit ribosomal RNA
Source: RNAcentral
GACGAACGCUGGCGGCGUGCUUAACACAUGCAAGUCGAACGGUGAAGGGACCGGUUUUUGCUGGUUCUGGUUGAGUGGCGAACGGGUGAGUAACACGUGAGUAACCUGCCCCCUUCUUCUGGAUAACCGCAUGAAAGUAUGGCUAAUACGGGAUUUUCUUCACCUGCUUCAUGGUGGGUGUGGGAAAGAUUUUGUUUUGGUGGGGGAUGGGCUCGCGGCCUAUCUGCUUGUUUGUGGGGUGAUGGCCUACCCAGGCGGUGGCGGGUAGGGCGCCUGAGAGGGUGGGCGGUACAGGGAGGACUGAGACGCGGCCGAGACUUCUGCGGGGGGCAGCAGGGGGGAAUAUUGCACAGGGGGCGCAAGUCUGAUGCAGCGACGCCGCGUGGGAGAUGGAGGCCUGCGGGUUAUAAACCUCUUUCGCCAGAGAAGCAGGCCUGUAACUUUUGUGGGUGGGUUGACGGUAACUGAAUAAGAAGCGCCGGCUAACUACGUG